Brassica oleracea var. oleracea is the source of this 1022-nucleotide long non-coding RNA. RefSeq lists it as uncharacterized. NCBI's taxonomy places the organism in Eukaryota, Viridiplantae, Streptophyta, Magnoliopsida, Brassicales, Brassicaceae. The transcript has 3 exons. The record is from RefSeq and is a predicted model, not a curated record.
GCGCAAAUUGUAUCAAUUAUUAAAGAUUGUAUUUUUUAUUUUUUUAUUUUUUCAAAGAAAAAGAUGAGAACGAUGCAAAAAUCCCCAAAGAUUCAACGGUUGAAUAUGGCACAGAUGAAACCCGUUUAAUUUCAUCUUUUGAGAUCCAAGGGCACAAAUGAUAGAUCUCUCUCUCUCAUCGGCGAUAUAACCCUAAUUUAGCGAGAGAGUCACCAAGUUUCUCCAUGGGCGAACCCAAGAUAUCAGAGCUUGAUACUGUGGUCAAAGAGGAAGGGUAGUUAUUCGAGGUCAAAUAUUUCUCCAAGAAUAAGACAUUUGUCUUCUGGAACAUGGACGACUACCCAAUCCCUGAAGGUGUCGCUCCUCUUGAGGUUAUCGAUAAUAUCAAAUCAGUUCUUCAUCGGUUGGGCUUUCCUUGGUGGUUGAUUGAGAUCAGGGCGUACGGUGACGACCAAAGUUAUGACCUUUGCAGUGCCGGAAUAUACGGUGAGUACCUCAUAACCGUAUUAUAUGUAUGUAACUGCUUACAUCUCACUCUUUUCAGGGGUAAAAUUUCUGGUGCUAUCAAAUUUCCUAUAGAGCUAAUUGAUAUCGCAACAUUGAAGUUUCGUGAACCAUUAAAUUUUGUUGUAAUUGCCAAACAUACCCCCCAAAGUCAGCUGCGCAGGGUUCUUGACAGUUUGAAAUCGAGAAAUAACGUUGUGGCCUCUGUUGAGCUGCCUGAUAGCGCCGCACUGAGUUCUAUUGAGUCACUUGUGAAUUCGAUAAAAGUUUUUGGUGGAAUCCAAAGGCCAUUAUGUCGAGAUGUUGGAGAGCGAGCUGAUGUGGAUGUUUUUAGGUGGACGAUAGCCUAUAGGCCCUUCUCUACUAACAAGGAGGAUGGUUACUCAUGUGAUUGGUCAUUCUAUCUUUGAUAUUUUUGUUUUAUGUCAUAAGUUGUUCGGUUAUUCUAUGUUGUUUCAUCUUUCAUCUGUUAAACGCUGUUUUGUGUUCAAAUUAGUUGCUGUUUUCUUCCAUUACCA